Molecule: ribosomal RNA, 374 nt
Filed under: uncultured eukaryote
Lineage: Eukaryota
Description: partial 18S ribosomal RNA
Rfam family: Eukaryotic small subunit ribosomal RNA
Source: RNAcentral
CAAGAGCGUAUGUAAAAGUUGUUGCAGUUAAAAAGCUCGUAGUUGAACCUUGGGUUUGGUUGGCCGGUCCGCUUUUUUGCGAGUACUGGAUUCAACCGAGCCUUUCCUUCUGGCUAACCAGUCGUUUCGGCGGCUGGCGAACCAGGAUUUUUACUUUGAGAAAAUUAGAGUGUUCAAAGCAGGCAUUAGCUUGAAUAUAUUAGCAUGGAAUAAUAGAAUAGGACGUUAUGGUUCUAUUUUGUUGGUUUCUAGGACCAUCGUAAUGAUUAAUAGGGACGGUCGGGGACAUCAGUAUUCAGUUGUCAGAGGUGAAAUUCUUGGAUUUACUGAAGACUAACUACUGCGAAAGCAUUUGCCAAGGACGUUUUCAUUAA